GGCGGAUGUAGCCAAGUA
RNAcentral lists this transfer RNA (18 nucleotides) under Lepechinia caulescens. RNAcentral's name for it is "partial tRNA-His". The record is from RNAcentral. Lineage: Eukaryota; Viridiplantae; Streptophyta; Magnoliopsida; Lamiales; Lamiaceae.